UCNGGAGGCAGAGGCAGGCGGGUUUCUG
This 28-nucleotide non-coding RNA is filed under the name Mus musculus (house mouse). Lineage: Eukaryota; Metazoa; Chordata; Mammalia; Rodentia; Muridae. The record is from RNAcentral.